Molecule: transfer RNA, 87 nt
Filed under: Candidatus Melainabacteria bacterium
Lineage: Bacteria; Bacillati; Candidatus Melainabacteria
Description: tRNA-Leu
Rfam family: tRNA
About the family: Transfer RNA (tRNA) molecules are approximately 80 nucleotides in length. Their secondary structure includes four short double-helical elements and three loops (D, anti-codon, and T loops). Further hydrogen bonds mediate the characteristic L-shaped molecular structure. tRNAs have two regions of fundamental functional importance: the anti-codon, which is responsible for specific mRNA codon recognition, and the 3' end, to which the tRNAs corresponding amino acid is attached (by aminoacyl-tRNA synthetases). tRNAs cope with the degeneracy of the genetic code in two manners: having more than one tRNA (with a specific anti-codon) for a particular amino acid; and 'wobble' base-pairing, i.e. permitting non-standard base-pairing at the 3rd anti-codon position.
Source: RNAcentral
GUCCUUGUGGCGGAACUGGUAGACGCGCUAUCUUGAGGGGGUAGUGGCCUUUUGGCUGUAUGAGUUCAAAUCUCAUCAAGGACACCA